GUCCUAGUAGCUCAGUGGAUAGAGCGACCGCCUCCUAAGCGGUAGGUCGGAGGUUCAACUCCUCUCUGGGACA
This 73-nucleotide transfer RNA is filed under the name Candidatus Ornithospirochaeta avicola. RNAcentral describes it as "tRNA-Arg". It matches the Rfam family "tRNA". From Rfam's summary of the family: Transfer RNA (tRNA) molecules are approximately 80 nucleotides in length. Their secondary structure includes four short double-helical elements and three loops (D, anti-codon, and T loops). The record is from RNAcentral. Lineage: Bacteria; Pseudomonadati; Spirochaetota; Spirochaetia; Spirochaetales; Spirochaetaceae.